GACGAACGCUGGCGGCGUGCUUAACACAUGCAAGUCGAACGGAAAGGCCCUGCUCUUGUGGGGUUCUCGAGUGGCGAACGGGUGAGUAACACGUGAGUAACCUGCCCUUGACUUUGGGAUAACUUCAGGAAACUGGGGCUAAUACCGGAUAGGAGCUCCUGCUGCAUGGUGGGGGUUGGUAAGUUUCGGCGGUUGGGGAUGGACUCGCGGCUUAUCAGCUUGUUGGUGGGGUAGUGGCUUACCAAGGCUUUGACGGGUAGCCGGCCUGAGAGGGUGACCGGCGACAUUGGGACUGAGAUACGGCCCAGACUCCUACGGGAGGCAGCAGUGGAGAGUAUUGCACAAUGGGCGGAAGCCUGAUGCAGCAACGCCGCGUGCGGGAUGACGGCCUUCGGGUUGUAAACCGCUUUCGCCUGUGACGAAGCGUGAGUGACGGUAAUGGGUAAAGAAGCACCGGCUAACUACGUG
This 468-nucleotide ribosomal RNA is filed under the name uncultured bacterium. Its description in RNAcentral is "partial 16S ribosomal RNA". It matches the Rfam family "Bacterial small subunit ribosomal RNA", at positions 28 to 507 of the family's 1533-position model. The record is from RNAcentral.